CAUGGCUUGGGCAAAGAAGCAGGGCCAUGAGGAGUGUGGGCGAUGGGCCGGAUUGAGAAGGCACGGGCAGGGGUGGUGUGUGUAAGCGAGGUGGAUGAAGCUGUUGCUUACCUGGGAAGAAGGCGGGUUGUCCCGAGCUGAAGUACAGCAUCUGGUUGAUGUUGGCGAUGCAAAAAUAGGUCCCCUGGUCCUGUGCCCUAAAGUUCUUCACCACCAGCCGAAAGGAGCUACCUUGCUUUGACCCCUCGAACUGUGAAGAUGUUCUCUCGUUCCGUGGGAAAGCAGUCCGGGAUAAGGGGGAAAUGUAGACAAUGAAGUGAAGCUUCCCAUCCUUGUCCUGUCGAAUCCAGGAGACACCAUUGUCGCUGUUGAAAGGCAGGCACUCCAGCUCCAGCCGCUGUCCCUCUUG
RNAcentral lists this long non-coding RNA (409 nucleotides) under Gallus gallus (chicken). RNAcentral describes it as "long non-coding RNA NONGGAT007300". Lineage: Eukaryota; Metazoa; Chordata; Aves; Galliformes; Phasianidae. The record is from RNAcentral.